UGUGUGUGUGUGUGUCUAUAUAUAUAUGUAUAUGUAUACACACACACACACACACACACACACACACACACAUACCC
Molecule: microRNA precursor, 77 nt
Filed under: Tupaia belangeri (northern tree shrew)
Lineage: Eukaryota; Metazoa; Chordata; Mammalia; Scandentia; Tupaiidae
Description: miRNA (ENSTBEG00000019874.1)
Source: RNAcentral